Molecule: ribosomal RNA, 963 nt
Filed under: Staphylococcus hominis
Lineage: Bacteria; Bacillati; Bacillota; Bacilli; Caryophanales; Staphylococcaceae
Description: bacterial SSU rRNA
Rfam family: Bacterial small subunit ribosomal RNA
Source: RNAcentral
UGCAGUCGAGCGAACAGACGAGGAGCUUGCUCCUUUGACGUUAGCGGCGGACGGGUGAGUAACACGUAGGUAACCUACCUAUAAGACUGGGAUAACUUCGGGAAACCGGAGCUAAUACCGGAUAAUAUUUCGAACCGCAUGGUUCGAUAGUGAAAGAUGGCUUUGCUAUCACUUAUAGAUGGACCUGCGCCGUAUUAGCUAGUUGGUAAGGUAACGGCUUACCAAGGCAACGAUACGUAGCCGACCUGAGAGGGUGAUCGGCCACACUGGAACUGAGACACGGUCCAGACUCCUACGGGAGGCAGCAGUAGGGAAUCUUCCGCAAUGGGCGAAAGCCUGACGGAGCAACGCCGCGUGAGUGAUGAAGGUCUUCGGAUCGUAAAACUCUGUUAUUAGGGAAGAACAAACGUGUAAGUAACUGUGCACGUCUUGACGGUACCUAAUCAGAAAGCCACGGCUAACUACGUGCCAGCAGCCGCGGAAUACGUAGGUGGCAAGCGUUAUCCGGAAUUAUUGGGCGUAAAGCGCGCGUAGGCGGUUUUUUAAGUCUGAUGUGAAAGCCCACGGCUCAACCGUGGAGGGUCAUUGGAAACUGGAAAACUUGAGUGCAGAAGAGGAAAGUGGAAUUCCAUGUGUAGCGGUGAAAUGCGCAGAGAUAUGGAGGAACACCAGUGGCGAAGGCGACUUUCUGGUCUGUAACUGACGCUGAUGUGCGAAGCGUGGGGAUCAAACAGGAUUAGAUACCCUGGUAGUCCACGCCGUAAACGAUGAGGCUAAGUGUUAGGGGGUUUCCGCCCCUUAGUGCUGCAGCUAACGCAUUAAGCACUCCGCCUGGGGAGUACGACCGCAAGGUUGAAACUCAAGGAAUUGACGGGGACCCGCACAAGCGGUGGAGCAUGUGGUUUAAUUCGAAGCAACGCGAAGAACCCUUACCAAAUCUUGACAUCCUUUGACCCUUCUAGA